GACCAAAAAAAAAAAACGCUUCUUAUUCUUUCUCUAUCACGCCUCUAUCUCCUCCUCCUCCUCCUCCUCCUCCCUCUCUCUCUCCACCGCCGUCAGUACAAGAGCACACAACCACCACUGCCAUUGAUAUCACCAUCGCAAACCAGCAGCACCUGAUGGCAACACUCGCAGUUACGGAAAACAUCAAAGGCAAAUCCAUAAUACAAAAAUUAACUACCUCUCUCACCUUUACGCGUUCGUUCGUUCGUUCGUGUCCAGUGUUUUCGUGAUAGAGAACGAGGAAGAAAGGAACUCCCAAAGCGUAGAGAGAGAAAGAGAGAAAAUUGGGGCUGAUGAGGGGAAAAAGUUACAGAGGGUUUUCUUGUUGUUUUUUGGUUUCCCUUAGAGGUUAAAGCCUCUGUAACAAUUCCUAUGUGUUUCUAAACCCCAUCAUUACCUUCAUUUUCCAUUUCCAUUAUCGUUUUCAGAGAGAAAAUCCUGAGGAAAAGCGAGGAAGAUAUAGAGAGAGAGAGUUGUCUUUGGUGCGAGUUUAUCGAUUUUGGGGGCAAAAAUUGGAUCUUGUAGGUUAUUCACAUUGUGGGUAUAUUGGAAAGAAUCAAUGGGUUCGCCUACAUUGUGUUUUUGAAGGAAAUUUAGGGUUUGAUCGCUCUCAAUCUGAUUGAUUUGUGAGAAAAUGGUAUUCACUUUCAAUUGAUUUUUGCAACUAUUUUGUUUUUCUUUCUUUCUUUUUUUUUUUUUGAAUUUUGAUGAUUUUUGAGUUAUAUUUGCUGACCUUAGCUAGUAAUGGGAGCAAAACAGUCUCCCAUUUCACCAAGUGAUGCUGAGGGGAGCACCACCGUCUGCAAUCUCUGUUUCGAAUUCUCUUUCUUCCCGCCGAUUUUUCAAAGUGAUACUGUUCAAUCAAAGUUAUGAAGGUUCUGAUUGCAAGGGAAGCUUUGUUCUUACAGCUUGAAUAGAAUUUUUUUUGGGAAUUUCAUGAUGGCAAUAUUUGUUUGGGUUUAAUUCCAUCCAUAUCUCUUUCUUUCUGUGUUGGUUUAUUGCAGUAUAAAUGCUCAUCGAGGUCUCUGUAAAUAUAUGAAAACAUGUACAUGUAUCAGAAGUAAAUAAUCUAUAUAUAUGAAUAUGUGUAAACAUGUAUUUAUGAUUUUUGUACCCUUGCUGUCUCGGUUUCCUACUUGUAGAAUUUUCCAUAUUUGCAUUGCCAUGUUGUUGUAUGUCUAUUUUUUGUGCCAAGUGUCUGGUGUUUAUUUCCAUGCUAUUUAUGCCAAAUGUUAUUCACAUGUUUGGACAUUGUUGGGUGCUCAUGGUAGGAGUAUGAAUUAUUGAGUUCCAAGAAGCUUCAUAUAAAUUUGUGGUCCAUAGAUUGGAAUUUUUCUUAGCUGGUAACUUUUUAAUUUGAAAAAGUUGCUUUAGGGCUUAAGAGUUGAUUGGUUAUGUGCUUACUUGUCAAACCCAAGAUAUUGAUGCAUAUAUUUAUGCUUCUUGAUCUUUCGAGCUGAACUGCAAUGAAGUGGUGAAUUAAAUAGUUAAAUUAAGGGUGUUGGAUCGAGUUUUAUUAUCUCUCCUAAAAUUAAUUAGUGUUAUAGAGUUUCACUUUUGUCUUUUAUGGAGUUCGACAUCGCACUCCACAGACUUGUUUUUAGAGCAAUCGUAGGGAGCGAGUAUUUUGUAUCAACAAAGGGAAAUAGAUUUAGAUUUAAAUUUAGAUCUAGAGAAAAAAAAAAAGGGAAAAGAAAAAAGGCAAAAGAAGCUAUUAGAGCUUUGAUUUGUGCAUUGAUUUUGUUAAUGUAAAGGACUACAAACAAUUUAAUGGGAGAAUAAAGUCAGCACUUUUAAAGAUUUGAGAUAUAAAGAUUGGGAAAAAUAAUCUACUCAAUGGCUUGAUCGAGAGCCACUAUUGGAUCAAUGGAAAGUUCCAGAGUCAUUCAUCAAGAGAAUCAAGAACCCUAAUGUCUUAUGACAAUAAGGGACAACGUGGGAUCCUCUGUUCCCUUGUCCCCAAACAGUCAUAGGUGUUGAGUUAUACAUCAAGAUUCUUGUUGUUUGAGAUUCUCACAUAAUUCAAUAGUUGUGAGUGUUUUGGGAUAGGGAGACAGAGAGAUUUGCGGGCACAAGAUGAUCCUUGGCCAUUAGGGGCCUUCUUUAUAAAUGAUAAUUAAGAGCAUAGGCAAAGCUUGUACACAUUUUUUGCUGCUAAUAUUACCAAAAUAGAUAGUAGUUUCCAAGCAACUAAAUUAGUUGGAUUGCACUUCUAAACUAACUCAACUUAGGAUGCAUAGAAUUCUAAAAUUCUAGCUAGAAAACUAAUAAUCUUGGUGUAUCGAUACUAUAGAUAAAUUGUUACUGUCGUGCUUGUCUUUUUUAUUUAUAUCAUGCUACAGAGUUAAGAUUAGAGUUUGGAUUAUUUAGUGAGGUUUUUGGUCCCUUUUCUUAUAUUUGUAUAAUAUUGAGCUAUAUAUAUUAUAGCUCUUUAAGGAGACUUCUGAUGAUUUAAAAGUUUUCUUCGGCUUUGGUAUUCUUUUCAUUUAGUGCCAACAGGAGGUUUUUCACCAAGUUUAUUUUCAAGCCUUCAACAGUGAUUCAGGUAUGAGACUGCUCUUGAUUGCGUCAAAUUUGCGACAAAUGACUAAUAAGACGACAUCUAAAAGGCAAACCAAAGCAUCAAACUUAUAGCUAAUGGAAUAAUGAAGGACAUUGAUUAUAGCAAGAUAUUGAAGUUCAAUUAUAGGAACAACUCAUGUUUUCUAUAGAAAGUUGUUCAGAUGUCAUACUCCAAAAGGUCAAGGUGCCUUUGAUAGUCAUUUCUGGACCGUAUGGAGUUGGUAUUUUGGUUUUGGAUUUGGGCUUAGUUUUUGAAGUGUCUCUAAUGUAACUGUUUAUUUGCCACAACUCUAUACAGUUGAGUGCCGAGGCUACAAUGCUUCUUAAAGCAAUUGGAUUUCCUGAUUUGUGUUAAAACUAUUUUUAAGUUUUGUCAAUCAAACUUCAUUAUUACUUGCUUUACAUGUUUUAUUCUUUUAAGGAAUCUAGUCAUUCUGUCGGUCAUUGUAUUACAAAAUAGCCUUAAUAAAUAUUGCUAAAUAUUAAAAGUGAAAAAUAUAAUUCUGCAUAUUAUUAAGUUGGAAACUUUAUUUCCUACAAAUUUCAGGGUUUGUGGGCUAAAUAUUAGAAUUCUGUUUGUUCACUCAAAUUAUUUGGAAUGCAAUUAUAUUCAGAAAGAUUUAACAACCGUGCUUGUGACUGGUGUAUUGAUGCAUACACCAUGAUAGGUUGGCCAUGUAUUGACAGGUUGACAGCUUGAAGGAAAAACUCCUUGAAAAGUUAGAACAAUUCAUUGUCAACCUUGAACUUGAUUCUAGAGAAGUAAGCAAUUCUUCAUUGGAUCAUGAUAGACCUUUUAAAUAAGGAAAUUACCCCGACUCAGUUCCUUCUGCGUUCUACUGCUUCUGAGGCUUCUACUCGGGAAUUUGUAGAAGUGGUCUGUGCUUAUUGGGUAAUAUUCCCUGAGUCAGAGCAGCAACUAAUCAAACUUGCAUAAGACCUUCUUACCAGAUGCUAUCUUUUGAGUAUGUGAUGAUAUCUUCGCAUAUCAAUAUUAAAGCUUACUGUUGAUACUAAAACAAGCUAUAAUAUAUAGGUUUUUUUAUUUAUACUGUCGAUACUUUUGUUUUGUUUUAAAUACAAAUUUGAGUUCUUGAAUUAUCAAAAAUUAUUAAUAUUGUUGAAGGAUGUUUUAUGGGAGCUUUUUU
This is a non-coding RNA of Camellia sinensis, 3749 nucleotides long. The record is from RefSeq and is a predicted model, not a curated record. Lineage: Eukaryota; Viridiplantae; Streptophyta; Magnoliopsida; Ericales; Theaceae.